UGUUAAAAUUUUCAUUCAUUUCUACUAUUAAAAAUUGGCAUGCUUGAUAGAAUAACCAAACAGUGAAACAUGAUGUGCCAUGUACACCUCAUACUAGCAUACAUGGACCAAUUUUUAUCAAUAGAAAUGGAUAAAAAAAUUUAAUA
This is a microRNA precursor of Gossypium arboreum, 146 nucleotides long. It matches the Rfam family "MIR7502 microRNA precursor family". The record is from Rfam. NCBI's taxonomy places the organism in Eukaryota, Viridiplantae, Streptophyta, Magnoliopsida, Malvales, Malvaceae.